AGCGAACGCUGGCGGCAGGCCUAACACAUGCAAGUCGAACGAAGUCUUCGGACUUAGUGGCGGACGGGUGAGUAACACGUGGGAACGUGCCUUUAGGUUCGGAAUAACUCAGGGAAACUUGUGCUAAUACCGAAUGUGCCCUUCGGGGGAAAGAUUUAUCGCCUUUAGAGCGGCCCGCGUCUGAUUAGCUAGAUGUUGAGGUAAAGGCUAACCAAGGCGACGAUCAGUAGCUGGUCUGAGAGGAUGAUCAGCCACAUUGGGACUGACACACGGUCCAAUCUCCUACGGGCUGCAGUAGGGGGGAAUCUUGCGUAAUGGGCGAAAGUCUGACGCAGCCAUGCCGCGUGAAUGAUGAAGGUCUUAGCAUUGUAAAAUUCUUUCACCGGGGACGAUAAUGACGGUACCCGGAGAAGAAGCCCCGGCUAACUUCGUGCCAGCCGCCGCGGUAA
Molecule: ribosomal RNA, 449 nt
Filed under: uncultured bacterium
Lineage: Bacteria
Description: partial 16S ribosomal RNA
Rfam family: Bacterial small subunit ribosomal RNA
Source: RNAcentral